AAAUAUGUGUGUGCGCGCACGCACGCGUGCGUGUGUGAGACAAGUUGAAAUAGAGAGCACAAAAAGUAGUAAUUGCAAAGAGAAUAUUGAAAGCAACCAAAAAGAGAGUGUCGAAAGCAAUUUUGAGGACAAUUAUCAUUCAUGAAUGCAAGAAAAGAUUGUUUUAUUUCUAACAAUCUACCAUGCCAUGGGGAUAGACAACCUUAUGACCAAUGUCUUUUUUGCUAAUAGGAUCUAUAAGGUUGAGUCUUGGAUAGAAGAAAUUGGAACUCUAUGCAUGACACUAGAAGUUUAUGGCUUACCAAACCCUAAGUUGAAUAGGAAAUUUUGCAUCCCAUUGGAAAAUCAGAUUGUAAGUUUUUGUACUUCGAGAUAAUUAGGACCCAUUCCAAGAUUAAUAUAGGAACCUUCCACUGGUGAAGCCUUGGUGGGAAAAGUAAAGAUCCCUCUACCCAAACUCUUCUCCAAAAUAAAGGAGUGCUUUAAACUAGUGAGGCCUAAAGGGUCAGGCUACAAGGUCGACGGGUACAUCCAACUGGCUAUGAAAAUGAAAAGGCUUUAAAAUGCAUAACUAGUUUGAUUAAUUUUUAGUCUCUGUUUUCAGCAGCUAUUAGAUUGCUAUAAUUAAUUAGAAAUUUGUAUUUCCCUUUUGAGUCUAAUGAGAAUAUCUAUGUUUGAUUUUGUAUUUCAAUUUACUUUGUUUGGUAUUUUCUUAUCUUUUGCUAAAUCUCUUGCAAUCAUUUGCAUAAAUGUUUUUAUUUUUGUUCAUUAGGACGCAAUUUGAGGGGAAAAAUUAAUUAUUAAACCAAUUUGAAAAGCCAUUUUAAGAACAAUUAUCCUUCAGAAAUGUAGGAAAAUAUUGCUUUAUUGCUAAUAAUUUAACAUGCCAUGGGGAUAGACAGCCCUACGACCAAUA
Molecule: unclassified non-coding RNA, 916 nt
Filed under: Hevea brasiliensis (rubber tree)
Lineage: Eukaryota; Viridiplantae; Streptophyta; Magnoliopsida; Malpighiales; Euphorbiaceae
Source: RNAcentral